GGGGUUCGCCGGAUGGCCGCGCUGCUUCCCGGGCCGGGUUUCCGGAUGCCGAGAAGUGUGAGGAAAGUCCGGACACCAUGGAACCGCGGGACCGGGUAAUUCCCGGAGUUCUACUCCGUUUCAGCGGAGUAGGGCAUGGAAAGUGCAGCAGAAAGUAUACCGCCUUGGAGGAAUUCCGAGGUAAGGGUGAAACGGCGGGGUAAGAGCCCACCGCCAUUCCUCGUAAGGGGAUGGGCAGGCAAACCCUCCCAGGUGCAAUCCCGAAUAGGCGAUCGUUAGUUGCGGGUUCCGCAAGAUCGUGGGUAGGGAGCAAAGAGUCCGAUCGGCAACCGUCGGGCCAAGAUAAAUGGUCAUCGCCGGAGGAUUUCGAAAGGAAUUCUUCGGUACAGAAUCCGGCUUAUAGGCGAACCCCUAUU
This 416-nucleotide RNase P RNA is filed under the name Leptospira fletcheri. Its description in RNAcentral is "RNase P RNA component class A". It matches the Rfam family "Bacterial RNase P class A". Rfam says of the family: Ribonuclease P (RNase P) is a ubiquitous endoribonuclease, found in archaea, bacteria and eukarya as well as chloroplasts and mitochondria. The record is from RNAcentral. Lineage: Bacteria; Pseudomonadati; Spirochaetota; Leptospiria; Leptospirales; Leptospiraceae.